GUUGGGAUGAGUUUUGGGAAGUCUGAAGGUUUGUUUUGUUUCUGUAUAGUAACUUCCAUUGUUCAGGUGAAGUAUGACUGUGUUUUAUAUCUUCUUCACCCCAAUACUUAACCGAACCCUAGUCUAUUUGAGCAAUCUUAAUUAUGAUAGUAUCAUAUCUUAAAUGAGAUCUCGCGAGAAUAGACAAGGUGAGUUAUCCUGUCAUUCUUUGCCGAACUGUAGUACUGUUAGUAGGACAUUGUCAUAUUUUGUCGAAUUGGACGAAAUAUUUACUUGAUACAUGGAGAAGAGAAAUAUAUAUGUAAAAAAAAAAUAUAUCGACAAAAACAUUGAUGGAGAAUCAAUUUUAUCAGGUUACAUUUGCUCAAAUGACUUCGGGUUUUAUAUCUAGUUCACCCCAAAAUGAAUACUUAACCGAACCCUAGUCUAUUUGAGCAAUCUUAAUUAUGAUAGUAUCAGAUUUGAGGUAUAUUCCACCAAUUAAUGGUAAUUCCUGAC
This 498-nucleotide long non-coding RNA is filed under the name Mytilus galloprovincialis (Mediterranean mussel). The record is from RNAcentral. Lineage: Eukaryota; Metazoa; Mollusca; Bivalvia; Mytilida; Mytilidae.